UUAAAGGGUGUUUGCUACUUGAAUGGCAUGCGUGCUUAAAUGCGCGUAGGGUAUGGAUAUCAAGACAUACCCAGCACACAAUUUUUAAAAUUAACGGGCUGCUGGCUGUCAAUGUGCACUGGCGCUCGU
This 129-nucleotide small nuclear RNA is filed under the name Rhodnius prolixus. RNAcentral describes it as "U11 spliceosomal RNA". It matches the Rfam family "U11 spliceosomal RNA". Lineage: Eukaryota; Metazoa; Arthropoda; Insecta; Hemiptera; Reduviidae. The record is from Rfam by way of RNAcentral.